Molecule: long non-coding RNA, 910 nt
Organism: Anneissia japonica
Lineage: Eukaryota; Metazoa; Echinodermata; Crinoidea; Comatulida; Comatulidae
Exons: 3
Source: RefSeq, a predicted model, not a curated record
CUGAAGGUGACAGAACAAUGUCGGCUGGUCAUUAAAAUGAUAAAUUGCGUCGCAGCGUAACCCAUUCGAAUCAACGCCGCGCGUCAGUAUUACUCACAAUUGGAGUGCGAAUUUCUGUUGAUCUGAAGGUACCAGGUUUCUCGGAAGAUUUAAGCCGAACUCUACGUAAAUGGAUCGAUUAAAAUGGAAACGAGCAACGGCCACCCGAAGGAUUUUUUUGUUAUCUAUCAGCUUGGACUACCGGCUAGGCCUUGGGAAUCUGCGAAUUUGCUAGUGAAGCCAGGCCGAAUGAACGAUUCCUGAUGAUAGCUAGGCGGAUGGGUGUUCUAUAAUGUGUCGAAGCUGACAAAGAAGGCACACGAAUGCAUUGUCUGUCGGACAGUGUUGUCACCUCUAAACAGUGGAGCAUCUGUCUUGAACAGAUUGGUGACCGUACUUUGGAGAUUUCAAAUUUAACAAGGAAAAGUGAGAGACAGAAGGAAUGGACUUGGAAAAAAUAAUUGCUGCAGUAGUAAACAUCUGACCGUGCAGGUCCUCGGCGUGGAAUUAUGUUUAACGAUAUAAAUGAUUUUCACGCUGCUAAACAUUGUCUACACGGCACAGUGUGAAAAUCAAAGGUGUGGAGCUAAUUGCGUUUGUUAUGUCAGAUGUUAACGACAAAAAGAUAACUUGGACACGCAGUUACUGUAGAAAACGUUGAGCUCCGAGGACGACGACGCUGAUCUAUCAAAUGUAGCAGGCAAAAUGACAACUUAUGUCUGGGGCUUAAGCAAACAGAAAACGAAGAUUUCCUAAAAAAAUAAACUAUCGCACAUAUGGCUAAUUAAAAUUAACAUCGUUUCUGCUACAGAAUUAAGUUUGUAAUUUCAAAAGAAUGGUAAAUAAAGUGUUAUAAAUAAGUUCUCAUUUA